GCAUUUAUAGUUUAAUCGGUUAAAAUAGUAAUUUGUGGCAUUACAGAUUAAAGGUUCAAGUCCUUUUAUUUGCC
This 74-nucleotide transfer RNA is filed under the name Phaeocystis globosa. Its description in RNAcentral is "tRNA-His". It matches the Rfam family "tRNA". Rfam says of the family: Transfer RNA (tRNA) molecules are approximately 80 nucleotides in length. Their secondary structure includes four short double-helical elements and three loops (D, anti-codon, and T loops). The record is from RNAcentral. Lineage: Eukaryota; Haptophyta; Phaeocystales; Phaeocystaceae.